RNAcentral lists this ribosomal RNA (403 nucleotides) under uncultured bacterium. RNAcentral describes it as "bacterial SSU rRNA". It matches the Rfam family "Bacterial small subunit ribosomal RNA", at positions 975 to 1380 of the family's 1533-position model. The record is from RNAcentral.
CAAGGCUUGACAUGCACGGGUAAGUUCCAGAGAUGGUUCCCCCGUAAGGUCCGUGCACAGGUGGUGCAUGGUUGUCGUCAGCUCGCGUCGUGAGAUGUUGGGUUAAGUCCCGCAACGAGCGCAACCCUUGUCUCAUGUUGCCAGCAAUUCGGUUGGGGACUCAUGGGAGACUGCCGGGGUCAACUCGGAGGAAGGUGGGGAUGACGUCAAGUCAUCAUGCCCCUUAUGUCCAGGGCUUCACACAUGCUACAAUGGCCGGUACAGAGGGCUGCGAGACCGCAAGGUGGAGCGAAUCUCUUAAAGCCGGUCUCAGUUCGGAUUGGGGUCUGCAACUCGACCCCAUGAAGUCGGAGUCGCUAGUAAUCGCAGAUCAGCAACGCUGCGGUGAAUACGUUCCCGGGCC